Molecule: long non-coding RNA, 293 nt
Filed under: Gossypium raimondii (Peruvian cotton)
Lineage: Eukaryota; Viridiplantae; Streptophyta; Magnoliopsida; Malvales; Malvaceae
Description: long non-coding RNA (GRAI_LNC008556)
Source: RNAcentral
GCGCCAAAAAGAAAUUAGGGUUUAGGUUUUUCUAAAAAUUUUUAAGUGUUUUGGGCCUUUAGACUUUGGGUUAGGUUUAGGUUAAUUUUGGUUUGUAAAUUGGGCUUUUUGGGUUUAAUGUAAUUUGGGCUUGUAACUGUUGUAAAUGGACUUUUGAUAGUUGGACUUUUUUUUUUGGUUUUAUUUAUUAUUUUUAUUUGGUCUUGGGCCCGGGUAGAAUUAGCUUGUUACACAGUCAACAAAGCAUGGAGAGCUCAAAAUAUGCUUCAAUUGGUCCAUACUGAUGUUUGUGG